AUUGAACGCUGGCGGCAUGCCUUACACAUGCAAGUCGAACGGCAGCACGGGAGCAAUCCUGGUGGCGAGUGGCGAACGGGUGAGUAAAGUAUCGGAACGUUCCCAGUCGUGGGGGAUAACGUAGCGAAAGUUACGCUAAUACCGCAUACGAUCUAUGGAUGAAAGCGGGGGAUCGCAAGACCUCGCGCGAUUGGAGCGGCCGAUAUCAGAUUAGGUAGUUGGUGGGGUAAAGGCUCACCAAGCCGACGUUCUGUAGCUGGUCUGAGAGGACGACCAGCCACACUAGGACUGGGACACGGCCCAGACUCCUACGGGAGGCAGCAGUGGGGAAUUUUGGACAAUGGGCGAAAGCCUGAUCCAGCCAUGCCGCGUGCAGGAUGAAGGCCUUCGGGUUGUAAACUGCUUUUGUACGGAACGAAAAGGUUUGGGCUAAUAAGCUGAGCUCAUGACGGUACCGUAAGAAUAAGCACCGGCUAACUACGUGCCAGCAGCCGCCGUAA
Molecule: ribosomal RNA, 500 nt
Filed under: uncultured bacterium
Lineage: Bacteria
Description: partial 16S ribosomal RNA
Rfam family: Bacterial small subunit ribosomal RNA
Source: RNAcentral